AGUGAACGCUGGCGGCGUGCCUAAUACAUGCAAGUCGAACGAAGUGGCGCACGGGUGAGUAAUAUAUAGUUAAUCUGCCCUACACAGAGGAACAACAGUUGGAAACGACUGCUAAUACAUCAUAGUGUAGGAUGAGACUAUAUCGUAUCAGCUAGUUGGUAAGGUAAUGGCUUUCCAAGGCGAUGACGCGUAACUGGUCUGAUAGGAUGAUCAGUCACAUUGGAACUGAGACACGGUCCAAAAGUCUACGGGAGGCAGCAGAAAGGAAGAUUGCCCAAUGCGGGAAACUCAGACGCAGCAACGCCUCGUGGAGGACGACACUUUUCGGAGCGUAAACUCCUUUUAUCAGGAAAGCGGUACCUGAUGAAUAAGCACCGGCUAACUCCGUGCCAGCAGCCGCGGUAAUAC
Molecule: ribosomal RNA, 408 nt
Filed under: uncultured bacterium
Lineage: Bacteria
Description: partial 16S ribosomal RNA
Rfam family: Bacterial small subunit ribosomal RNA
Source: RNAcentral